AAAACGACUCUCUCGCAACGGAUAUCUCGGCUCGCAUCGAUGAAGAACGUAGCGAAAUGCGAUACUUGGUGUGAAUUGCAGUGCAAUCCCGUGAACCAUCGAGUCUUUGAACGCAAGUUGCGCCCCAAGCCUUCUGGCCGAGGGCACGCUCUGCCUGGGUGUCACAA
Molecule: ribosomal RNA, 167 nt
Filed under: Arabidopsis thaliana (thale cress)
Lineage: Eukaryota; Viridiplantae; Streptophyta; Magnoliopsida; Brassicales; Brassicaceae
Description: 5.8S ribosomal RNA
Rfam family: 5.8S ribosomal RNA
About the family: 5.8S ribosomal RNA (5.8S rRNA) is a component of the large subunit of the eukaryotic ribosome. It is transcribed by RNA polymerase I as part of the 45S precursor that also contains 18S and 28S rRNA. Functionally, it is thought that 5.8S rRNA may be involved in ribosome translocation.
Source: RNAcentral